UCUGCGGUCUUCUCCUUUUGCUCUGUAUGUGCGUAAUGCGCAGUUUGGUCCCACACUCUCCACUCCUUGCAGCGCAGCUGACUGCUUGGUCCAGGGGAGGCGGGAGUGGCUCGCUGGAGCCUCGCUGUGUUCAGCUACUGGUCCGCUCUGGCCGUGUGUGUUUAAAGCUGCGUCCUGUGAGGCUCGCAUUCACUGGUUGUUUAUGUUCGCUGUGCAUGCCUGGCACCCCUGGUGCUGGUGGCUGACGGCGGCAGUUUGACCCCUGGUGGUGGUGCAUUCUUCACAAACCCCCUCCCUUUUUUGUUGUGUGUGUGUGCAGUGUCACGGGUGGUUUAUUUUGAGGAUCCCUUCUCCCUUUUUGGUUUCUGCCGCAUGGUAAGCCUCAGCCCUGACCUUAUUCCCCUCCCCUGUCCAAGUGCCUAUUUUAUAUUAUGUGUGGUGUGUGACAUAUUGCUUCUUUUCUUUUGUAUAAUUUAGUUUAAUAAAGUUUGUUUGUUUUUAAAAUUA
Epinephelus lanceolatus (giant grouper) is the source of this 507-nucleotide non-coding RNA. The record is from RefSeq and is a predicted model, not a curated record. NCBI's taxonomy places the organism in Eukaryota, Metazoa, Chordata, Actinopteri, Perciformes, Serranidae.